This 578-nucleotide long non-coding RNA is filed under the name Felis catus (domestic cat). RNAcentral's name for it is "lncRNA (ENSFCAG00000047148.1)". Lineage: Eukaryota; Metazoa; Chordata; Mammalia; Carnivora; Felidae. The record is from RNAcentral.
GCUUCAUAAUGGGAACUAACAUUUUCUGGAACUUCACGACUUAAAAAGUAAAUUCAUGUAUGCCAUUUCAUCUCUGAGAGAUUCAAUGACCAUGUUUGAUGACAAGCCAGAUGGCAGCCGUUCUCCAGACCCGGUGCCAAGAAGCGUGACAGGAGCCGCAAUUUACCUUGCGCGGUGGAGGCCGGCUACAGAAGCGCCCCCGCAGCUGCGGGCCAGCAGGGCUGCUGCCGGUAGGUGCGCCCGCCCGCUUGGUUCCCUCCCAAUUUGGAUGGAGCAGGUAAACAAUACCAUGGGAAGGGGAAGUUUGGAAAGACGGAGCAAACAUAACCAAUCCGUCGACUGUUCCAGGAAGAAAUGUUUUUGUGGUAGAGUCCAUUAGGGAUUCAAUAGAGGCAAGUAACCACAAGAAACCAACCAGCCCCCCUCCCCUAAAGGUGGCAUUCAGUACUGACCUACUAAAAAGAUAAACACCAAACACAUUUGUUAUCCCAGAGGCUGGGGCUUGCCCUGUACUAAAACAAUCUGGAAACUGUGGGCACCAGCCUCCUAUCUUGUGCUACCUCUAUGACAACAUCGGU